RNAcentral lists this ribosomal RNA (253 nucleotides) under uncultured microorganism. RNAcentral describes it as "partial 16S ribosomal RNA". It matches the Rfam family "Bacterial small subunit ribosomal RNA", at positions 524 to 776 of the family's 1533-position model. The record is from RNAcentral.
UACGUAGGGUGCGAGCGUUAAUCGGAUUUACUGGGCGUAAAGCGUGCGCAGGCGGCCCGUUAAGACAGGUGUGAAAUCCCUGGGCUUAACCUAGGAAUUGCGCUUGUGACUGGCGGGCUCGAGUAUGGUAGAGGGGGGUGGAAUUCCUGGUGUAGCAGUGAAAUGCGUAGAGAUCAGGAGGAACACCGAUGGCGAAGGCAGCCCCCUGGGCCUGUACUGACGCUCAUGCACGAAAGCGUGGGGAGCAAACAGG